This is an RNA transcript of Ctenopharyngodon idella (grass carp), 2454 nucleotides long. It is a transcript of the gene named serine/threonine-protein kinase 32B-like, with no coding region annotated. The record is from RefSeq and is a predicted model, not a curated record. The transcript has 11 exons. NCBI's taxonomy places the organism in Eukaryota, Metazoa, Chordata, Actinopteri, Cypriniformes, Xenocyprididae.
AACCAUUAGGGUAUUUGUUUUUAUGUUAUUAAAAAAUAACCUCCCUGCAACGUUAUGGUUGCAAAAUAAUAAAACCUAAAAAGAACAUUCCUAAAACAUUCCUAUUAUUUGGUUCUCAAAAAAAUAACCAAACUGAAACCAAAUACUAACGUUAGGGGAACGUUCUGUGUUUGUUGGGUAUUGGGUUUUGCGUGUAAUAUUUGAGGUUUAUGCAGUGCGGAGGCUGUUUGUCAUGGUUUGAUGCUUUAGUUCUUGUGAGAAGUUUAUAAUAAUCGAUCUUCCUUUCGCACGGCUGAACUGAGCACUGAAAGAGAGUGACGCGUUCUUCAGACAUGAUAGCAGCCGUUCACACAGAACGCGUUUUAGAUUCACUGCGCUGCUUUUGUUUUUCAGUGUAAACAUGCGCUGACCGGUCCUGAGGCCACCGUCCUGCAGAGUUCAGCUCCAGCUUUUAAACAGUUCAGCAUGUCGAGGUUCGAUUCCCGGGGAAAGCAAGAACUGAUAACAAUGUGUAUCUUGAAUAGAAUGUAAAUCAGUUCGGAUAAAAGCGUCUGCAGUCGGACUCUACAGUGGUUGUAGUUUUUUCAGUUACAUUUACAUUCAGAAAUCAGGAGGUGCUUCCUUGAGCUUUACAUGGCCUGUCGUCAUACAAACAACAUGUCUUGAAGAAAAGAGUUAGUGCUUAAUGAUCGCUGUUAAAAAAUGAACCGUGAAGUAUAUUAGCAUGAUGUGUGUGUCUGAGAGUUCAUGACCCCGUCACACAUUUAUUUAUCUAAUGGGGUCAUUCCAUAGACGGGUCGGUGUCCUGCUCAAGUUCCUCAGUUGUGGGUAAUGAGAGUGGAAGAGCUGUUCAUUCACUCCACCGCCUACAUUUCCUGCCGGUACUGAGACUCGAACCCGCAACCUUCACGUUACAAGUCCGACUUUCUAACCAUUAGGCCACAAGUGCCCCAGAGAUGUUUUUCCCAAGAUGAUUUCUGGUUUCGGGCUCCAAAUGACAUAAUCAGCGAAACAUUUCUUUUGACCACUUUCAGAUUCUCAGAGCCAUUGGAAAGGGAAGCUUUGGAAAGGUGUGUAUCGUGCAGAAGACAGACUCCAGGAAGAUGUACGCCAUGAAAUACAUGAACAAGCAGAAGUGCAUCGAGAGAGAUGAAGUCAGAAACGUCCUCCGAGAGCUGCAGGUCAUGCAGAGACUCCAACACCCGUUCCUCGUCAACCUCUGGUUUUCAUUUCAGGAUGAGGAGGAUCUGUUUAUGGUGGUGGAUCUGUUGUUGGGGGGUGAUUUACGGUUUCAUCUGCAGCAGAACGUUCAUUUUAAAGAGGAAACGGUGAAGCUGUACAUGUGUGAGCUAGCGUUAGCGCUCUGUUACCUGCAGCGCGAGCACAUCAUCCACCGGGAUAUAAAGCCAGACAACAUUCUCUUGGAUGAACAUGGUCACGUCCACAUCGCUGACUUUAAUGUGGCCACGGUCCUGAAGGACUCAGAGAAAGCCACAUCUAUGGCAGGAACCAAACCCUACAUGGCUCCAGAAGUCUUCGAGUCGCAGGCGGACGCUGGUCCGGGUUAUUCGUACGGCGUGGACUGGUGGUCUCUCGGCAUCACGGCGUACGAACUCUUACGAGGGUCGCGGCCGUACGAGAUCCGCUCCAGCACGACAGCAGCCGAAGCCAUCAACACAAUCCACGGACAGCAUGUGAGCUUUUCCUCUGCCUGGUCUGACGGGAUCGUGGCUCUGAUCCGCAGGCUGUUGACUAAAGACCCUGAGAAUCGUCCGUCACGUUUGUCUGAUAUCCAGAAGGAUCCGUAUCUGGCUGAUGUGAACUGGGAUGCCGUGCUGGAGAAAUCCGUCCCCCCUGGUUUCGUUCCAAACAAAGGCCGUCUGAACUGCGACCCCACGUUCGAGCUGGAGGAGAUGAUCCUGGAGUCCAAACCGCUGCACAAGAAGAAGAAACGUCUGGCCAAGAGCAGAAACAAACACUCAAAGCCGCUGGUGUGUUCAUUUACUCGCCCUCAUGAUGCCGUUCCAAACACCGUGGCAGGAAAGUUUCUACAGAGCUUUAGAUCGAUUCAGAGCAGCUUCACAGUAAUAAACAGGAAAAAGGCUCUUCAAUUUCAAGAAUCAGAAUGUCAAUUGAAUGGAAAACAUCAUAAAGAUCCUGUUGGAUCCCAGUGAAGGAAGAGCGUCAUACGGGUUUGGAGCGACAUGAGGGCGAGAACUAUCGCUUUAAGAUGACAUUGCCUUGAAUCUAACUGACUUAUAACACCCAAUGUCAGUAUGAUGUAAGACAUCUGUCUGUCUCUCAGCCGACGCACAUGCAGACGAGUUUAGACACGCUGACAGAAGAUUUCAUGGUCUUCAACAGAGAAAAGAUGAAGCAGCAGCGGCUGGUGUCGGAGAGUCCAGCAGCGAAUAAACAGCAGGACGGACGACACAACAUGGUCACAUGGCACUG